Molecule: ribosomal RNA, 784 nt
Filed under: Salmonella enterica subsp. enterica serovar Senftenberg
Lineage: Bacteria; Pseudomonadati; Pseudomonadota; Gammaproteobacteria; Enterobacterales; Enterobacteriaceae
Also listed under: 2 other names
Description: partial 23S ribosomal RNA
Rfam family: Bacterial large subunit ribosomal RNA
Source: RNAcentral
GGGUUGUGAGGUUAAGCGACUAAGCGUACACGGUGGAUGCCCUGGCAGUCAGAGGCGAUGAAGGACGUGCUAAUCUGCGAUAAGCGCCGGUAAGGUGAUAUGAACCGUUAUAACCGGCGAUUUCCGAAUGGGGAAACCCAGUGUGACUCGUCACACUAUCAUUAACUGAAUCCAUAGGUUAAUGAGGCGAACCGGGGGAACUGAAACAUCUAAGUACCCCGAGGAAAAGAAAUCAACCGAGAUUCCCCCAGUAGCGGCGAGCGAACGGGGAGGAGCCCAGAGCCUGAAUCAGCAUGUGUGUUAGUGGAAGCGUCUGGAAAGGCGCGCGAUACAGGGUGACAGCCCCGUACACAAAAGCGCAUGUGCUGUGAGCUCGAUGAGUAGGGCGGGACACGUGGUAUCCUGUCUGAAUAUGGGGGGACCAUCCUCCAAGGCUAAAUACUCCUGACUGACCGAUAGUGAACCAGUACCGUGAGGGAAAGGCGAAAAGAACCCCGGCGAGGGGAGUGAAAAAGAACCUGAAACCGUGUACGUACAAGCAGUGGGAGCACAGGUUUACCUGUGUGACUGCGUACCUUUUGUAUAAUGGGUCAGCGACUUAUAUUCUGUAGCAAGGUUAACCGAAUAGGGGAGCCGGAGGGAAACCGAGUCUUAAUUGGGCGUUAAGUUGCAGGGUAUAGACCCGAAACCCGGUGAUCUAGCCAUGGGCAGGUUGAAGGUUGGGUAACACUAACUGGAGGACCGAACCGACUAAUGUUGAAAAAUUAGCGGAUGACCUGUGGCU